UACGUAGGGUCCGAGCGUUGUCCGGAAUUAUUGGGCGUAAAGGGCUCGUAGGCGGUCGUGACAAGUCACUUGUGAAAUCUCCGGGCUUAACUCGGAAACGGUCAAGUGAUACUGUCGGACUAGAGUACAGAAGGGGGCAACUGGAAUUCUCGGGUGUAGCGGUGAAAUGCGUAGAUAUCGAGAGGAACACCUGCGGCGAAGCGGGUUGCUGGGCUGAUACUGACGGUGGAGGCGCGGAAAGCCCAGGGGAGCGAACGGG
RNAcentral lists this ribosomal RNA (259 nucleotides) under uncultured bacterium. RNAcentral's name for it is "partial 16S ribosomal RNA". It matches the Rfam family "Bacterial small subunit ribosomal RNA", at positions 524 to 776 of the family's 1533-position model. The record is from RNAcentral.